GGGUAGCUCAGUGGUAGAGCAGUGGAUUGAAAAUCCUCGUGUCGGUGGUUCGACUCCGCCCCC
Molecule: transfer RNA, 63 nt
Filed under: marine eukaryotic metagenome
Rfam family: tRNA
About the family: Transfer RNA (tRNA) molecules are approximately 80 nucleotides in length.
Source: RNAcentral